CGGCGCGGCCGGCCGGGCCCGCUGCAUGGCUUCCGGGGAGGCCUGCACGGCCGGGGACGGGUGGCGCCGCGGGCGGGAGCCAGCUCGGCUCUGAUCGCCAUCGUACCGGUAGGCGCCGAGGAGCCGGCCGCCGGCCGACAGGAGCGGCGCCGACAGCGACAGCGCAGCCGCAGCCAUGAACAAGUACCUGAGAAGAAUCAAAGCAAGAAAGAGAGCUCCAAGUUCAGCCGGAUCGACCGGUCCAACAGCGAGGACGAGGAGGAGGAAGAGGAGGCGCCGCCGGACACCCCUGACGUCACCGUGACGUCACAGCAGCCGGAGCCGCCCGCUGACAGCCAG
Molecule: long non-coding RNA, 339 nt
Filed under: Pollicipes pollicipes
Lineage: Eukaryota; Metazoa; Arthropoda; Thecostraca; Pollicipedomorpha; Pollicipedidae
Description: uncharacterized LOC119091845
Source: RNAcentral